This 408-nucleotide long non-coding RNA is filed under the name Androctonus crassicauda. Lineage: Eukaryota; Metazoa; Arthropoda; Arachnida; Scorpiones; Buthidae. The record is from RNAcentral.
ACUAAGGUGACCAUUUGUCCUGGAUUUUUUUCCUAAUUUUUAGUUAUCUUCUGGAUUAUAUUCAUUAGAUGAAUAUUUAGUUUUUAUAGUAACACUGUUAAAUGUGUGAAAUUUACAAAUAUUUAUUACACUAAACUUAACUACUUUCAAUCCAUAUUCUGGUGUCAUUAAUAGAUAGAACAAUGAAUGGGAGAGCACUCAUUUGGUAAUGAAUCUGAAAGAAUAAUGAUAGAGAAGAAAAUACAGAUGGACAGGAAUAGGAAGACAAAGGAAUUUUAUCUUCUGUCUUUAAUGACAUUAAUAAAAAAAAAUGGUUUGCUUAUAUCAAAUGCAAAAUUACAAAACUUGUUGAGAACAUAUAUUCCACUUAAUAACUAUAUAUUAGUAAUUUUAUUUAUUGUUUCAUUA